UACAUGGGGUGCAAACGUUGCUCGGAAUUAUUGGGCGUAAAGCGCACGUAGGCGGUUUGUUAAGUCGGAUGUGAAAUCCCUCGGCUCAACUGAGGAAGUGCAUCCGAAACUGGCAGGCUUGAGUACUAAAGAGGGUCGCGGAAUUCCCGGUGUAGAGGUGAAAUUCGUAGAUAUCGGGAGGAACACCGGUGGCGAAGGCGGCGACCUGGGUAGAUACUGACGCUGAGGAGCGAAAGCGUGGGGAGCGAACAGG
This 253-nucleotide ribosomal RNA is filed under the name uncultured bacterium. Its description in RNAcentral is "partial 16S ribosomal RNA". It matches the Rfam family "Bacterial small subunit ribosomal RNA", at positions 524 to 776 of the family's 1533-position model. The record is from RNAcentral.